Molecule: ribosomal RNA, 549 nt
Filed under: uncultured bacterium
Lineage: Bacteria
Description: bacterial SSU rRNA
Rfam family: Bacterial small subunit ribosomal RNA
Source: RNAcentral
UGGGGAAUAUUGCACAAUGGGCGCAAGCCUGAUGCAGCCAUGCCGCGUGUGUGAAGAAGGCCUUCGGGUUGUAAAGCACUUUCAGCGGGGAGGAAGGCGGUGAGGUUAAUAACCUCAUCGAUUGACGUUACCCGCAGAAGAAGCACCGGCUAACUCCGUGCCAGCAGCCGCGGUAAUACGGAGGGUGCGAGCGUUAAUCGGAAUUACUGGGCGUAAAGCGCACGCAGGCGGUCUGUCAAGUCGGAUGUGAAAUCCCCGGGCUCAACCUGGGAACUGCAUUCGAAACUGGCAGGCUAGAGUCUUGUAGAGGGGGGUAGAAUUCCAGGUGUAGCGGUGAAAUGCGUAGAGAUCUGGAGGAAUACCGGUGGCGAAGGCGGCCCCCUGGACAAAGACUGACGCUCAGGUGCGAAAGCGUGGGGAGCAAACAGGGUUAGAUACCCUGGUAGUCCACGCUGUAAACGAUGUCGAUUUGGAGGUUGUGCCCUUGAGGCGUGGCUUCCGGAGCUAACGCGUUAAAUCGACCGCCUGGGGAGUACGGCCGCAAGGUUA